UACGUAGGUGGCAAGCGUUGUCCGGAAUUAUUGGGCGUAAAGCGCGCGCAGGCGGUCCUUUAAGUCUGAUGUGAAAGCCCACGGCUCAACCGUGGAGGGUCAUUGGAAACUGGGGGACUUGAGUACAGAAGAGAAGAGUGGAAUUCCUGGUGUAGCGGUGAAAUGCGCAGAUAUCAGGAGGAACACCAACGGCGAAGGCAGCACUCUGGGCCGGUACUGACGCUGAGGAGCGAAAGCGUGGGGAGCAAACAGG
RNAcentral lists this ribosomal RNA (253 nucleotides) under uncultured bacterium. RNAcentral's name for it is "partial 16S ribosomal RNA". It matches the Rfam family "Bacterial small subunit ribosomal RNA", at positions 524 to 776 of the family's 1533-position model. The record is from RNAcentral.